CGAAACAAAGAAGUACGGAGAAGAAACUUCCCAAUCCCACAUUGUCUGACAGGUUUUGAGCUAGAUUUUUCUAGACAAGCUUAUGGUUGGAAUGGACAUAUCCAGCCAUAUCCCAGUAUCAGCCUUAAACGAUCCAGGCAGCUGUUAAGCGUGGAGUGGGAUGAAACUGGAGUUGAAAUUUCCAUGGCUGAAGAAAACAGCAGUACUGUUAAACCUGCCGUGUUCACUGUUGCCAUCUGUGCACUGGAGAGAUGUGUGAAAUAAGCAUUAGACUCUUCUCUGAGCACUAGAGGAACUUUUAAAGCCCCAAAUCCUAAAUGAUAUUGGACCAACAGUCAUUCAUUUGAUCAGCGUCACUCAUCGUCAAUUACAGCGUGAAGUAUCAUGUUUUCAGUUCUUUACAGAAGUGAUUCUAAAUUGCUUUACCAUAUUGAUUUCCCACCAAACAUCACUACUGCACAGUCCGGUGAUGGCCCAGACGGUUUUCUGAUGUCUCUCAGAGGAAGCUUUUGGUGGGGGGAAAAAAAGAAGCUUAAUUUUUAUUUCCUGUCAAAAAGCACAAAACAGAGCCUCUGGGCUUUCCUUGAAA
This is a long non-coding RNA of Ornithorhynchus anatinus (platypus), 589 nucleotides long. RefSeq lists it as uncharacterized. The record is from RefSeq and is a predicted model, not a curated record. NCBI's taxonomy places the organism in Eukaryota, Metazoa, Chordata, Mammalia, Monotremata, Ornithorhynchidae. The transcript is spliced from 2 exons.